This 328-nucleotide ribosomal RNA is filed under the name uncultured eukaryote. Its description in RNAcentral is "partial 18S ribosomal RNA". It matches the Rfam family "Eukaryotic small subunit ribosomal RNA", at positions 1470 to 1796 of the family's 1831-position model. The record is from RNAcentral.
CCCUUAGAUGUCCUGGGUUGCACGCGCGCUACACUGAUGUGUCCAGUAAGCACCUAACCUCUUCCGAAAGGAACGGGUAACCUUUGCAAAGCACAUCGUGAUGGGGAUAGAUUAUUGCAAUUAUUAGUCUUGAACGAGGAAUUCCUAGUAAGCACAAGUCAUCAGCUUGUGUUGAUUACGUCCCUGCCCUUUGUACACACCGCCCGUCGCUCCUACCGAUUGGGUGUGCUGGUGAAAUGUUCGGAUCGGCCGUUUGUCGCGGUUUCCGCGUCAUGUGGCUGAGAAGUUCAUUAAACCCUCCCACCUAGAGGAAGGAGAAGUCGUAACA